RNAcentral lists this transfer RNA (73 nucleotides) under Spirochaetaceae bacterium. RNAcentral describes it as "tRNA-Asn". It matches the Rfam family "tRNA". Rfam says of the family: Transfer RNA (tRNA) molecules are approximately 80 nucleotides in length. Their secondary structure includes four short double-helical elements and three loops (D, anti-codon, and T loops). Lineage: Bacteria; Pseudomonadati; Spirochaetota; Spirochaetia; Spirochaetales; Spirochaetaceae. RNAcentral also lists the same sequence under 1 other name. The record is from RNAcentral.
UCCCUUGUAGCUCAGCUGGCAGAGCAACAGACUGUUAAUCUGUGGGUCGCAAGUUCAAGCCUUGCCGGGGGAG